Molecule: long non-coding RNA, 746 nt
Organism: Catharus ustulatus (Swainson's thrush)
Lineage: Eukaryota; Metazoa; Chordata; Aves; Passeriformes; Turdidae
Exons: 3
Source: RefSeq, a predicted model, not a curated record
CUGACAUCAGCUCCGCCAGCCCUCGCCCCCAAACUCCGCUCCCCCGGGGCUGCCGGCUGGGCCCGGCUCCCGGGAGAACGCCGGGGAGAAUGGCCCCGUGGGGAAUAAAAACAUCCUGCUGCCUCGUCUUGGAGAAGCCGGAGGGGCAGCUCGCAAGAAGGCAGGCUGCAGGGAGGAUUUCAAGCCUUUUUUUUUUUUUUUUCUGUCUGCUUUAGACCAUGUGGACACUGAAAAUUCCGCUUCCACACAGACAGAAAUGCCUCUGCUGUCCUCCCCAACCACGCAGUUAUUAACUAGUUCACUAAUUGCGAUGCUUAUUAUUCCCAGUGAAAGAAUAUGAGUUGCUGUUGAAGGAUCCCUGUGUCAACAAACCUUAUGCAAGAGGAUAAGUGUAGCGAUUCCCCUUGAAUCUCCAGUUAUUUUUAAGUCUUGUGGCUCAAUCAGCCUGUGUUUGUCAGCACCAUCAUUCUGCUGCAGAACUAGCAAAGACUGUAUUGAACUAUCUAAACAGGAGUACCAUCUACUGGGCUCAGAAAGCAAUCCUUCUGACCUGCUCUGCACUGCUACGUCCUCAGGUGACAGUAUGGAAGGAAGGCAAGGCACAAACUGAACAUGUAGAUUGUUCCUCAUUCUGAUUUCCUCUGAGUUGCUUAAGUUAAAGUCAAAUAUUCCCUGGACCAUGUCUUCCUUGUGUGUAGGAGUUAUUCAACCUACUGAGAGUGGAUUUCAGUCUUCAAAGUAACAAC